ACCUGAGACAAGGUUCCAGGCCCUACGGGGUGCAGCAGGCGCGAAACCUCCGCAAUGUGAGAAAUCGCGACGGGGGGAUCCCAAGUGCCAUUCUUAACGGGAUGGCUUUUCAUUAGUGUAAAGAGCUUUUGGAAUAAGAGCUGGGCAAGACCGGUGCCAGCCGCCGCGGUAACACCGGCAGCUCUAGUGGUAACAAUUUUUAUUGGGCCUAAAGCGUCCGUAGCCGGUUUAAUAAGUCUCUGGUGAAAUCCUGUAGCUUAACUGUGGGAAUUGCUGGAGAUACUAUUAGACUUGAGACCGGGAGAGGUUAGAGGUACUCCCAGGGUAGAGGUGAAAUUCUGUAAUCCUGGGAGGACCGCCUGUUGCGAAGGCGUCUAACUGGAACGGUUCUGACGGUGAGGGACGAAAGUUAGGGGCGCGAACCGGAUUAGAUACCCGGGUAGUCCUAACUGUAAACGAUGCGGACUUGGUGUUGGGGGUGGCUUUGAGCUGCUCCAGUGCCGAAGGGAAGCUGUUAAGUCCGCCGCCUGGGAAGUACGGUCGCAAGACUGAAACUUAA
This 559-nucleotide ribosomal RNA is filed under the name uncultured archaeon. RNAcentral's name for it is "bacterial SSU rRNA". It matches the Rfam family "Archaeal small subunit ribosomal RNA", at positions 301 to 859 of the family's 1478-position model. The record is from RNAcentral.